CCACGACACUGAAUGAUCCAAGAGGACGGGGACCCUAGCUGUACCCUCAGAGCUCACCGCAGUGCCACCCACAUAAACCACCGGGAGGGAGGGUGGCUGCCUGCCCAGAGAGCUACUGCAUUCGGAAGGAGCCCGACAGAUGAGUAAUGCUAAUGAUAUAAUAAAUAGCGCGAAUGACAACACCCUGCCGUGUCCCCUGCACCUGUCUCCAAGGAGCUCAAAGCUCUCGUCAAAUCCAAGUUCCCCUCCAGACGGAAGAGGGCUUUUCUCUCCUCCAGUGAGGAUCUGAAUAUAAGAAAGGAGCUUGAGUUCCAGCCUGAGAGAGGCCAGGAGCUGGGUUUCUGCCUUGGAGACCCUCCGAUCACCCAGAGGAGGUAGACGU
This is a long non-coding RNA of Lemur catta (Ring-tailed lemur), 382 nucleotides long. RefSeq lists it as uncharacterized. The transcript has 3 exons. The record is from RefSeq and is a predicted model, not a curated record. Lineage: Eukaryota; Metazoa; Chordata; Mammalia; Primates; Lemuridae.